Molecule: long non-coding RNA, 957 nt
Organism: Planococcus citri (citrus mealybug)
Lineage: Eukaryota; Metazoa; Arthropoda; Insecta; Hemiptera; Pseudococcidae
Exons: 3
Source: RefSeq, a predicted model, not a curated record
ACGAAACGAAAACAUUUUCGUUUUGCCAACACUGUUUUUGAUGCAAUUGCAUCAUGCAUUACAAAACAUGAUUCAAUUUCAGUCAUCUGUUACUAGCAAAGAGUUUUGACAUUCUUGCCUAAUGUAUAGGGUAUUGUUUCACACUUUGCUUAGGUAAUUUGAUUUCAAUUGCAGUACAAACUAUGGAAGAGUCUGAAAUGAAAAAUGAAAUCUUACGGCUUGAAGGUGGGAUAGAAUUCCUUCGUAGUCAACUGGAUAAGGAAAGAAAACUAUGCUCAGAGAUAGCUCAACAAAUUGGGGCAUUGGAUUAUAAUGUUAAAAACUACGAGAAGGUCUUACGCAUUAUUACUCUUCGAUACAAGCUGGAAACAUUCGUAAAGAAGUUAUAUCCCUGCGGUGUGGAUAAAUGGCAAAUGACUAUUUACGGAAAACCUGAUGAAUUAUCAAUAUGCGAUGCUGUAUCCGAACUUAUAAUGUCGAAAGAUGAUCGCUUUGUGAAUGAUGUUUUCGUGAAAAUGGUCCGUGACCGGUUGCAGGAUCGGAAUAUCGAUGGUAGUGUAUUCGUAAAAUUUUCACGCUGGCUUUACAGCCUAUUUUCUGAUACAGCGUGUGAUGUAUUGUCGGCUUUCUCGCCACCCUUGCCACCUUACACGGAUGUGAAUUGGAUUUGCGAUAUGUUGAGAUGCUUUGAUAUAGACCGCAAUGAUCCAGCAGUAAUUUGUGUUCAAAUUUUAAUUCAGCCUUUAGAUCUACCGAAAAUGAAAUAAUUGUUUUUCAAAUGAAAUGAAGAUUUUGAUGUGUUUACGUUCCUUUAUCUUAUGAGUGUUGAAACUUCACUGAAUUUUUUUUCACAUACUUUGAUAUAAAUUAUAAAAACAUGUAUUAAUUUUUCCGCGAAAAAAAAAUCAGAUCAUAAUAUAAUAAUUUAUUAAAAUAAUAAAAACUUAUUGAAAUAGA